Molecule: ribosomal RNA, 403 nt
Filed under: uncultured bacterium
Lineage: Bacteria
Description: partial 16S ribosomal RNA
Rfam family: Bacterial small subunit ribosomal RNA
Source: RNAcentral
AUUGAACGCUGGCGGCAGGCCUAACACAUGCAAGUCGAGCGAUAGUCGGACGGGGGUGAAAAGUAUGUGGACUCCCCGCCAGAGGGGGAUAACUACUGGAAACGGUAGCUAAUACCGCAUACUAUCGGAUAACCCAUAUGGGAUUAGCUAGGGGGGGGGGUAAUGGCUCACCUAGGCGACGAUCCCUAGCUGGUCUGAGAGGAUGAUCAGCCACACUGGGACUGAGACACGGCCCAGACUCCUACGGAGGCAGCAGUGGGGAAUAUUGCACAAUGGGCGCAAGCCUGAUGCAGCCAUGCCGCGUGUAUGAAGAAGGCCCUAGGGUUGUAAAGUACUUUCAGUCGGGAGGCGUUACCGACAGAAGAAGCACCGGCUAACUCCGUGCCAGCAGCCGCGGUAAUAC